GUCCCCGUAGCUCAGCUGGAUAGAGCACUUCCCUCCUAAGGAAGGGGUCGGACGUUCGAAUCGUCUCGGGGACGCCA
This 77-nucleotide transfer RNA is filed under the name Desulfobacter sp. Its description in RNAcentral is "tRNA-Arg". It matches the Rfam family "tRNA". From Rfam's summary of the family: Transfer RNA (tRNA) molecules are approximately 80 nucleotides in length. Lineage: Bacteria; Pseudomonadati; Thermodesulfobacteriota; Desulfobacteria; Desulfobacterales; Desulfobacteraceae. The record is from RNAcentral. RNAcentral also lists the same sequence under 15 other names.